AUGUGAGUAAAGGAGAAAUAGGGAGUUUUUUCUAGAUAUGUCAUUCCUGCAUUGUGAAUUCACAAAGUACAUGUCUUCCUGACUACUUAUGCUGAAGAAAUCAAUGUUGCCAAUUAAAUCUACUAACUUGUGUUCAAUUUAUUUAACCACACAGUGUAGUUUUUCCCCUCCAUAGCCUUUUUAAACCUCCCAUGGAACUAAUAUCAUGCAGAACCUAUUCUGUAACAUGCUGAUCUGAAGAUUUUCCAAAUGUGUAACUUACUUAAGUUUGUGGAGGCAUCAGAUCCCUUUGGGCAUGUGGAUGGACAAAAAUAUUCCAUCUGCAACAAAGCCAAAGUUCUCGGAUAGAGGGUCUCACCAUGUCAGCAUGUGGAACAUGUACCAGAGAACUCCAAGAAUGAGGAUGUGCCUAAUACCAUGUUGCAUAUUUACAGGUAAGCCUAACAUGGCUAAUGGGGAACAUCUAAGUUCUCUGAGUAAAGGGAACUUUUUAUGUAAAGGGCCAGAUAGAAUGCAUUUUAUA
Molecule: long non-coding RNA, 523 nt
Filed under: Vulpes vulpes (red fox)
Lineage: Eukaryota; Metazoa; Chordata; Mammalia; Carnivora; Canidae
Description: lncRNA (ENSVVUG00000030171.1)
Source: RNAcentral